This 331-nucleotide RNase P RNA is filed under the name Patescibacteria group bacterium. RNAcentral describes it as "RNase P RNA component class A". It matches the Rfam family "Bacterial RNase P class A". Rfam says of the family: Ribonuclease P (RNase P) is a ubiquitous endoribonuclease, found in archaea, bacteria and eukarya as well as chloroplasts and mitochondria. Its best characterised activity is the generation of mature 5'-ends of tRNAs by cleaving the 5'-leader elements of precursor-tRNAs. The record is from RNAcentral.
CUGUGCAGUUUUACAGUGGCCGUAAAGGCUGGUCCUUUAUGGAGGAAAGUCCGGACAGCAGAGUGCAGGGUGCCUGGUGAAAGCCAGGGGAUUUAAUUAACCUUUUGGGGUUAAUUGGGUGACAGUUAGAGCAACAGAAACGACUCGGGUGGCGCCGAAUGAAACGACCAAGCGACUGGGUAGUCCCGAUUUAUCGGGAUUGGCAAUCCUCCCCGCUGCAACCGCCGAUCUUCACCUUAAUGUCGGCACUAACUAUCAUGGUGAUAAUGUCGCGGGCAUAGAUAGAUCACUGUUAACCAAACAGAAUCCGGCUUACAAACUGCACAGCUUU